AGUGAACGCUGGCGGUAGGCCUAACACAUGCAAGUCGAACGGCAGCACAGUAAGAGCUUGCUCUUACGGGUGGCGAGUGGCGGACGGGUGAGGAAUACAUCGGAAUCUACUUUUUCGUGGGGGAUAACGUAGGGAAACUUACGCUAAUACCGCAUACGACCUACGGGUGAAAGCAGGGGAUCUUCGGACCUUGCGCGAUUGAAUGAGCCGAUGUCGGAUUAGCUAGUUGGCGGGGUAAAGGCCCACCAAGGCGACGAUCCGUAGCUGGUAUGAGAGGAUGAUCGGCCACACUGGAACUGAGACACGGUCCAGACUCCUACGGGAGGCAGCAGUGGGGAAUAUUGGACAAUGGGCGCAAGCCUGAUCCAGCCAUACCGCGUGGGUGAAGAAGGCCUUCGGGUUGUAAAGCCCUUUUGUUGGGAAAGAAAAGCAGCAGGUUAAUACCCCGCUGUUCUGACGGUACCCAAAGAAUAAGCACCGGCUAACUUCGUG
Molecule: ribosomal RNA, 492 nt
Filed under: uncultured bacterium
Lineage: Bacteria
Description: partial 16S ribosomal RNA
Rfam family: Bacterial small subunit ribosomal RNA
Source: RNAcentral